RNAcentral lists this ribosomal RNA (468 nucleotides) under uncultured bacterium. Its description in RNAcentral is "partial 16S ribosomal RNA". It matches the Rfam family "Bacterial small subunit ribosomal RNA", at positions 28 to 507 of the family's 1533-position model. The record is from RNAcentral.
GACGAACGCUGGCGGCGUGCUUAACACAUGCAAGUCGAACGGAAAGGCCCUGCUUUUGUGGGGUGCUCGAGUGGCGAACGGGUGAGUAACACGUGAGUAACCUGCCCUUGACUUUGGGAUAACUUCAGGAAACUGGGGCUAAUACCGGAUAGGAGCUCCUGCUGCAUGGUGGGGGUUGGAAAGUUUCGGCGGUUGGGGAUGGACUCGCGGCUUAUCAGCUUGUUGGUGGGGUAGUGGCUUACCAAGGCUUUGACGGGUAGCCGGCCUGAGAGGGUGACCGGCCACAUGGGGACUGAGAUACGGCCCAGACUCCUACGGGAGGCAGCAGUGGGGAAUAUUGCACAAUGGGCGGAAGCCGGAUGCAGCAACGCCGCGUGCGGGAUGACGGCCUUCGGGUUGUAAACCGUUUUCGCCUGUGACGAAGCGUGAGUGACGGUAAUGGGUAAAGAAGCACCGGCUAACUACGUG